GUCACUGUGUAUAGAAUAGGUUGUAGGACGCUGCCCGAUAGAGGAUGUCCUCUGGCUGGUAGGGUCAGCCCAUUUGGAAGAGUCUCCGUCGUUCACAGUGUGGCAUGUAUGGCUGGGUUCGCCGAGAUCCCAGUGGCCCACAGUGGUUGCCAAAUUGCCUGGGUUGUGCGGGGCGAAAAUGGCCAUCCAGGUGCUGGAUGAUAAGGUGCAGUUGUUGUUUGAUGUCGGCGUGCUCCCAUGUGUUGCUUUGUUAUUGACGAGGUCCGCGACAUCCUUCUGGAGCACAGGAAAGUCACGGUUGCGUUCAUAUUGCUGUUUUUCAAUGAGGUCGAUCUACACGUCGUUAGAUUUUGUAGGCAUAGUGGUGGCUCUAACACCACUUAUAGGAUCCCCCUAAGAGGAGAAUAAUAGCACGAUAACGCGAGAGGGAAAAGGAGGAAAACUGGAUGAUAGUAUUCUCGAAACCUGGGAUACUAAACACGAUAAUAGUCGAUUCUAAAUGGGGAAGACACCUCCUCUCUGAGAUCUAGCCGCGAAUGAAUGCUAGCUUGGGACAGGAUAAUCUCUGGGUAUCACAAUGCUAGUUUCACCAUGCUCAUGGCAACAGCUGGGUGCGAACCCGUCGGCGACGUUGGAUCGCCGUAGUCUACAUGAAAGAUCUCUAGUCUUGGGAGUGGGUGGCCGACAGCGGACGAAGCACAUUUUAGUAAGAACUAGAACACGAGGAG
RNAcentral lists this long non-coding RNA (728 nucleotides) under Spirodela polyrhiza (greater duckweed). Its description in RNAcentral is "long non-coding RNA (SPOL_LNC001414)". Lineage: Eukaryota; Viridiplantae; Streptophyta; Magnoliopsida; Alismatales; Araceae. The record is from RNAcentral.